This 415-nucleotide long non-coding RNA is filed under the name Monodelphis domestica (gray short-tailed opossum). RNAcentral's name for it is "lncRNA (ENSMODG00000049135.1)". Lineage: Eukaryota; Metazoa; Chordata; Mammalia; Didelphimorphia; Didelphidae. The record is from RNAcentral.
AGCAGAUUCAAUAAAAAAAAGCAUAAAGUAUUCCUUCUUUACAGAAAUCCAAAGAAAAAUUAAAAUGUGAAAUCUCCAAAUGCACAAAAGGCUGGUCUGUGCCUCCCCUCAAAUAAUGUGACCUGCAAAGCUGAGCCGGAGCUUCAAGGAAAAUAAUUGGACAUUCUGCAGAAAGGAAGAAUUCAAGGCAUUCUUUCAAAGGAACCCAGAGGAGCCAAAGUUUGACUUUGGGUCAAGGAGUUAUACCAACAUGUCCAUACCAAUUAGCAGAAAUGAUAAAUGCGAAGCCAGCAGAGUAAGAAGUAGAGAACAGGAAUGGGACCAGAGCUUGGCUGGACUCAGUCCCUUGGAUUUCCAUGAGUCAUAGAUAUACUGAUAACAAUUUGAUUUGGCUUUAAAGUUAUGCUUCUUCUCC